AUGAUCUCUCUUUCUCAUUCACUUCUUCCUGCUUUUUCGCUUUUCUCAUUCCUUGCUCUCUCUUUCUCGUUCCCUUCUUCCCCCGUUCCCCUUCUCAAAUUCGUUGCGCUCUCUUUCUCGUCCUCUUCUUCCCCCUUUUUCGCUUCACUCAUUCGUUGCGCUCUUUCUUGUUCCUUUCUUCCCCCGUUUCACCCACACUCGUUCAUUGUGCUCUUUCUCAUUCCCUUCUUCUGCUGUUUCCCCCACACUUGUUCGUUGCACUCUUUCUCGUUCCCUUCUUCCCCCAUUUUGCCCUGCACUCGUUCGUUGCGCUCUUUCUCGUUCCCUUCUUCCCCCUUUUCUCCUUCACUUGUUUGUUGCGCUUUUUUUCUCAAUCUCUUCUUCGCCCGUUUUCCCCCGCACUCAUUUGUUGUGCUCUUUCUCAUUCCUUUCUUCUGCCUUUUUCCCUUCCCUCGUUCGUUGCGCUCUUUUUCUCGUUCCCUUCUUCCCCCUUUUUCCCUUAACUCGUUUGUUGCGCUCUUUUUCUCGUUCCCUUCUUCCGCCUUUUUCCCUUCACUCGUUCGUUGCGCUUUUUCUCGUUCCCUUCUUCCUCCGUUUUCCCCGCACUCGUUCGUUGCGCUUUUUCUCGUUCCCUUCGUCCCACUUUUCCCCUUCACUCGUUCGUUGUGCUCUUUUUCUCGUUCCCUUCUUCCCACUUUUCCCCCCGCACUCGUUCAUUGUGCUCUUUUUCUCGUUCCCUUCUUCCGCCUUUUUCCCUUCACUCGUUCAUUAUGCUCUUUUUCUCGUUCCCUUCUUCCGCCUUUUUCCCUUCACUCGUUCGUUGUGCUCUUUUUCUCGUUCCCUUCUUCCUCUGUUUUCCCCGCACUCCUUCGUUGCGCUCUUUCUCGUUCCCUUCUUCCCACUUUUUCCCUUCACUCAUUCGUUGUGCUCUUUUUCUCGUUCCCUUCUUCCCACUCUUCCCAAGCACUCGUUCAUUGCGCUCUUUUUCUCGUUCCCUUCUUCCCCCGUUUUCCCCGCACUCGUUUGUUGUGCUCUUUCUCAUUACCUUCUUUGGCCUUUUUCCCUUCACUCCUUUGUUGCUCGCUCUUUUUCUCGUUCCCUUCUUCCCACUUUUCCUCCGCACUCGCUCGUUGUGCUGUAUUUCUCGUUCCCUUCUUCCUCCGUUUUCCCUGCACUCGUUCGUUGCACUCUUUUUCUCGUUCCCUUCUUCCCAAUUUUUCUCCUGCACUCAUUCAUUGCGCUCUUUUUGUCGUUCCCUUCUUCCCCCUUUUCCCCUUCACUCGUUCGUUGCGCUCUUUCUCAUUACCUUCUUCUGCCUUUUUCCCUUCCCUCGUUCAUUGCGGUCUUUUUCUCGUUCCCUUCUUCCCGUUUUCCCAAGCACUCGUUCGUUGCGCUUUUUCUCGUUCCCUUCUUCCCACGUUUUCCCAAGCACUUGUUCGUUGUGCUCUUUUUCUCGUUCCCUUUUUUGCCCUUUUUCCCUUCAUUCGUUCGUUGCUCUCUCUUUCUCGUUCCCUUUUUCCCUUCACUUCUCUCAUUCGUUGCUCUCUCUCUCUCUCUCUCUUAUCCCUUCUUCCUGGUGUAAUAAUACUGUGCAAGUAG
Long non-coding RNA from Corvus moneduloides (New Caledonian crow), 1599 nucleotides. NCBI's taxonomy places the organism in Eukaryota, Metazoa, Chordata, Aves, Passeriformes, Corvidae. The record is from Ensembl.